AGCAGCCGCGGUAAUUCCAGCUCCAAUAGCGUAUAUUAAAGUUGUUGCAGUUAAAAAGCUCGUAGUUGAAUUUCGGGGUUAGUAGGUCGGUCAUGCCUCAGGUAUGCACUGGUCUCACUGAUUCCUCCUUCCUGAUGAGCCGUAAUGCCAUUAAUUUGGUGUUGCGGGGAGUCUGGACUGUUACUUUGAAAAAAUUAGAGUGUUUAAAGCAGGCUAACGCUUGAAUACAUUAGCAUGGAAUAAUGGAAUAGGACGUUCGAUCCUAUUUUGUUGGUUUCUAGGAUUGACGUAAUGAUUAAUAGGGAUAGUUGGGGGCAUUAGUAUUCAAUUGUCAGAGGUGAAAUUCUUGGAUUUAUUGAAGACUAACUACUGCGAAAGCAUUUGCCAAGGAUGUUUUCAUUAAUCAAGAACGAAAGUUAGGGGAUCGAAGACGAUCAGAUACCGUCGUAGUCUUAACCAUAAACUAUGCCGACUAGGGAUCGGAUGAUGUUAAUUUUUUAAUGACUCAUUCGGCGCCUUACG
Molecule: ribosomal RNA, 522 nt
Filed under: uncultured Glomus
Lineage: Eukaryota; Fungi; Glomeromycota; Glomeromycetes; Glomerales; Glomeraceae
Description: SSU rRNA
Rfam family: Eukaryotic small subunit ribosomal RNA
Source: RNAcentral